RNAcentral lists this ribosomal RNA (490 nucleotides) under uncultured bacterium. RNAcentral describes it as "partial 16S ribosomal RNA". It matches the Rfam family "Bacterial small subunit ribosomal RNA", at positions 30 to 507 of the family's 1533-position model. The record is from RNAcentral.
AUUGAACGCUGGCGGCAGGCCUAACACGUGCAAGUCGAACGGUAACAGGAAGCAGCUUGCUGCUUUGCUGACGAGUGGCGGACGGGUGAGUAAUGUCUGGGAAACUGCCUGAUGGAGGGGGAUAACUACUGGAAACGGUAGCUAAUACCGCAUAACGUCGCAAGACCAAAGAGGGGGACCUUAGGGCCUCUUGCCAUCGGAUGUGCCCAGAUGGGAUUAGCUAGUAGGUGGGGUAACGGCUCACCUAGGCGACGAUCCCUAGCUGGUCUGAGAGGAUGACCAGCCACACUGGAACUGAGACACGGUCCAGACUCCUACGGGAGGCAGCAGUGGGGAAUAUUGCACAAUGGGCGCAAGCCUGAUGCAGCCAUGCCGCGUGUAUGAAGAAGGCCUUCGGGUUGUAAAGUACUUUCAGCGGGGAGGAAGGGAGUAAAGUUAAUACCUUUGCUCAUUGACGUUACCCGCAGAAGAAGCACCGGCUAACUCCGUG